GUGCCAGCAGCCGCGGUAAUACGUAGGUGGCAAGCGUUAUCCGGAAUUAUUGGGCGUAAGGCGCGCGUAGGCGGUUUUUUAAGUCUGAUGUGAAAGCCCACGGCUCAACCGUGGAGGGUCAUUGGAAACUGGAAAACUUGAGUGCAGAAGAGGAAAGUGGAAUUCCAUGUGUAGCGGUGAAAUGCGCAGAGAUAUGGAGGAACACCAGUGGCGAAGGCGACUUUCUGNGUCUGUAACUGACGCUGAUGUGCGAAAGCGUGGGGAUCAAACAGGAUUAGAUA
Molecule: ribosomal RNA, 281 nt
Filed under: uncultured Staphylococcus sp.
Lineage: Bacteria; Bacillati; Bacillota; Bacilli; Caryophanales; Staphylococcaceae
Description: partial 16S ribosomal RNA
Rfam family: Bacterial small subunit ribosomal RNA
Source: RNAcentral